Molecule: long non-coding RNA, 706 nt
Filed under: Felis catus (domestic cat)
Lineage: Eukaryota; Metazoa; Chordata; Mammalia; Carnivora; Felidae
Description: lncRNA (ENSFCAG00000052483.1)
Source: RNAcentral
CGCUCGUGGAGAUCUCCACGAGAUCAGCCUCAGGAGUAAGUUCCCUCGCUUGCCCCUCCUGCCACCUACCGUUCUGGCCGGCUGCCUCUUUCUUCCGUGUCUCCGCGGCCUCGGUGGAGGCCAGUUUCAGAUUCCAGCGGGAGAGCGCCCAGGGCUGCGAAGCAAUAGAGCAAAGAGCAGAAUCCUGUCCCCAAGGCUGGUGACAAAUGACCAGCCCUAGGGAAGAAUCUAGGGAAGUCACACCAUUUUGUCUCUACUUGGAGCACUGGAACUUAUGCUACUCAGUUCUACCAAAGUGGAGAGAAAAGAGUGCCCUGGCUGCCAGAGUUUCCCAUGAGAUCAUAUUGGGAUGGACUAAGUGUAAGUAAUAACUGUGUGUGGAUGGUAUUGAAGGAAUGUACUGGAUAAUAUGAAAUUAAAAUAGAUGAUGAAAUUUGAAGAUAGUAGCCAAUUUUUUAAUAUUACUAUCAAUUUAUUUUUUUUCAAAUUUUCUGUGGAAUUCAUUAUCUCAGAAGAUAUUUAUUUACCCAAUAUUAGGGAGACAUGAAAAAAUUUUUUUCAUAGAUGACAGUGGAUAUGAUUGAAUUUCUAAAUAGAUUUUGAAUCCCAAAAAGAAGACCAUUGAUCUGAAAUUCAAUGAUUGCUGAAAUUAUUGAAUUGCAAAAUAGUACUUACUUUACUGUAUAGUUUUACGUCUUAUUUCCAG